GGAAAUGUGGCUUAGUGGUAGAGUGCUUGCCUAGCACACAUGAAGCCCUGGGUUCAAUUCCUCAAUACCA
RNAcentral lists this transfer RNA (70 nucleotides) under Dipodomys ordii (Ord's kangaroo rat). It matches the Rfam family "tRNA". Rfam says of the family: Transfer RNA (tRNA) molecules are approximately 80 nucleotides in length. Lineage: Eukaryota; Metazoa; Chordata; Mammalia; Rodentia; Heteromyidae. The record is from Rfam by way of RNAcentral.